Molecule: RNA transcript, 1758 nt
Organism: Solanum dulcamara
Lineage: Eukaryota; Viridiplantae; Streptophyta; Magnoliopsida; Solanales; Solanaceae
Gene name: pentatricopeptide repeat-containing protein At1g62350
Exons: 4
Source: RefSeq, a predicted model, not a curated record
AAUAUUUAAAAUUUUCCCUUGUAGUCGCCUUGAAGUUCACUAGUUGCAGAUGUGGCGUCAAGGUCAGAAUCUUCUUCGGCGAACGUCGCUAUUAAACCUUAGCUGCGGAAUCAGACAAAUCAUUACUGGUUCAACGUCAUCAGCGAGCCCCAGUGUGUCGAUAUGGAGGCGCAAGAAAGAAAUGGGUAAAGAAGGUUUAAUGGUCGCCAAGGAGCUUAAGCGGUUGCAGUCCAACGCCGUUAGGUUUGAGAAGUUUAUGAAGUCCCAUGUUUCUCGUCUACUAAAAUCUGACCUCGUCGCCGUUCUUGCUGAGUUCCAAAGACAAGAUCUCCCUUACCUCUCCAUGAGGUUGUACGAGGCUGUGCGCAAAGAAAUAUGGUAUCGGCCAGACAUGUUCUUUUACAGGGAUAUGCUUUUCAUGCUUGCAAGAAACAAAAAGGUAGAUGAAACAAAGAAGGUAUGGGAUGAUUUGAAGAAAGAAGGGGUGCUUUUCGAUCAGCAUACAUUUGGUGAUCUUGUCAGGGCUUUUCUAGAUGGUGGAUUACCCUCAGAGGCAAUGCACAUAUAUGAUGAAAUGAGGCGAUCUCCUGAUCCUCCUAUGUCCUUACCUUAUCGUGUUAUAUUGAAGGGGCUACUUCCUUACCCCGAAUUGAGAGAAAAAGUGAAGGAUGACUUUCUAGAACUGUUCCCAGAUACUGUAGUUUAUGAUCCACCUGAAGAUCUAUUUGAUGAGGAAGAAUGGAGAAAGGAGAUUGAUGAUGAUUAGAGUAUGCUGUCGACUCAGAUUUUCUCGCAUUGAAAUUUUCCUCUGGUCAAGAACAUAGUGGAAUGGUAAAUAGGGAAUGCACUGGCAGCAGAUCAUGAAAUUGUUUAAGCUGCUGAACAAAUGGGUGCUUCUGCCUUAGAGAAAUUGAAAUGUGACCCAUGAAAACUGUGGAAAAUUGGUAGUUGAUGAAGUAUGAUCUUACCUGUGAUAUCUAAACUGAAGAUAGCAAAACAUGUUUGGUCAUGUGGUCAAAGUUGUGGCAUUGUAAUUAGAAAUGGUGAAAACAUGAUACAAUGACUCAUGUUUUGGUGAGCUAUCUACGGCUAAUAACGGUAUCCAUGAAGUGCUAUAUCAAUGCCUCCCCACAGUUAUAUGCUGGGAGAUAAGAAAAAAUAGAUGUGCUGCAAGUGGGAAAGACGAAACAAAUAAUCAGUAGUCAACUGGUGAAAUGGAAUAAGCCUGAGUUUGAUUGGCUAAAACUUAAAAUUGAUGGCUGUUGUUAAGGAGAAUCGAGAAGCUCUGGAGGCGGUGGUUGUAUCAUUAAGGACAACCUUGGCUGCUCUGUCCUGACCUAUCCUGAUUAUUACAGCCAUUGCAGUAUCAAUAUGGCUGAGGCCAAAGCUCUUUUACAGGGUGUGAAACUGUGUAUUUGCAGAAGUUCCUUUUAUGUGAAGGUGGAAUAUGAUUCCCAGUUGAUUUAUUAACAUGAUUAACAACAAAACAAAAGCACCUUAACAGACCCAACAUGCCAUUGAUCAGAUUGUUCACCCCUCAAGUAGUGUUAUUUUGUUUUUGUCCAUACAUACUGAGUGGGAAAUAUGUGUGCUAAUCAACUAGCCAAUAUGGGGAAAGAUUGAGAGAUCAAGUUACAUUCGAUGAAGCUAUUUCUGGAAAUUUCUCUUCCAGAAAUAGUGAAAUCAACAUUGAAACUUGAUCGAGAUUGUAUCCCAAACUUCAGAAUGAAACCAAGAAAGAAUAAUUUUGUUAUAAUG